UACGGAGGGGGCUAGCGUUGUUCGGAAUUACUGGGCGUAAAGCGCACGUAGGCGGAUAUUUAAGUCAGGGGUGAAAUCCCGGGGCUCAACCCCGGAACUGCCUUUGAUACUGGGUAUCUGGAGGUCGAGAGAGGCGAGUGGAAUUCCGAGUGUAGAGGUGAAAUUCGUAGAUAUUCGGAGGAACACCAGUGGCGAAGGCGGCUCGCUGGCUCGAUACUGACGCUGAGGUGCGAAAGCGUGGGGAGCAAACAGG
RNAcentral lists this ribosomal RNA (253 nucleotides) under uncultured bacterium. Its description in RNAcentral is "partial 16S ribosomal RNA". It matches the Rfam family "Bacterial small subunit ribosomal RNA", at positions 524 to 776 of the family's 1533-position model. The record is from RNAcentral.